Molecule: non-coding RNA, 1297 nt
Organism: Misgurnus anguillicaudatus (oriental weatherfish)
Lineage: Eukaryota; Metazoa; Chordata; Actinopteri; Cypriniformes; Cobitidae
Source: RefSeq, a predicted model, not a curated record
GCAGGAAAAACUUCCGCGUGACGUCACUGAGGUGGGACAGGAGCUCGCUUUGCCCUUGUGUUGCGAAUUAAUGCGGUUUCGGUUUUAUUAAACCGUCAGUGGUUUUUAUUAAGCUCAGCUUUUUCAGUACUGUCAUGUCUCUUGCUGCAGAGGCGUUCGUCUCUCAAAUUGCAGCUGCAGAGCCAUGGCCUGAAAAUGCUGCUUUGUAUCAACCUCUUAAGGAGGAUCAAAUCCUGCUAUCAGAUUCGGCAUCCUCCCUGGCAGUGCAGACGUUCCUGAGGAUGUGUGGUCUGCCAGUACAGGUGUGCUGCCGAUCCAAUGCUGAAUACAUGUCACCAUCAGGUAAGGUUCCUUUCAUCCAUGUCGGGAAUCAGGUUGUGUCAGAAUUGGGGCCGACUGUGCAGUUUGCAAAGGCAAAGGGUCAUUCCCUGAGUGAUGGGUUAGAUGAUGUCCAGAGGGCAGAGAUGAAAGCUUACAUGGAGCUGGUCAAUAACAUGCUAUUGACUGCGGAGCUGUAUAUCCAGUGGUGCGAUGAUUUUACUGCUGCAGAGAUCUCCAGGCCCCGAUACAGUAGUCCAUACUCAUGGCCCCUCAAUCACAUUCUGGCCUAUCAGAAGCAGUGGGAGGUGCGGAGAAAGAUGAACGCAAUUGGAUGGGCCGGAAAAAGCCUGCAGCAGGUAUAUGAAGAUGUAAGUCAGUGUUGUCAGGCUUUGUCACAGCGACUGGGAACUCAGCCCUACUUUUUUAACAAACAGCCGACUGAACUGGACGCUCUGGUGUUUGGUCAUCUCUUCACCAUACUUACCACACAGCUUACCAACGAUGAGCUAGCAGAGAAGGUUAAAGCCUACACCAACUUAUUAUCUUUCUGCCACCGUAUUGAACAGACUUACUUUAAAGAACACGACAGGGAUAGCCAAUCCGGGUCAUCACGCUAUUCCAAAGGCUCGCUCCCCUAAACACCGCCCCUUUGACAGAUGCUACUCCCUUCACACCAAAAUGAUUGACAGCUCAUCCUACAGCUCUGUAUAGAAGGUAUAGAUAUGGUAUUGCUAGUAUGUAAGAGUUUGUCUAGAUCAACGGGAGGGAGAAGUGGGAAUUAAAUAGAAGUUUGUUAAUAUUUAAAUUGUUCCAAAAAUGCCUGGCCAGAAUGCCAUAAAAAGGGAAUUUGCCUGCCAGAACAACACAUUUAGAUUUGUGUGCAAGAUUUAAGUUGAUGUAAACUCUUUUCCACUGUGCGAUUUAAGCGGUAAAUGUGAAGUGCCUAUAAAAUAUAAUAAAUAUUAAAUCAGAAGUC